CCUCCUUUCAAGGACAGGUUUCGAAAACUUCAGGGUUUUCCUGGAGUGUGUUGAAAUCUAUACCUUUACAAUACUUANAGCGCUAAUAUCUGCCGCCGUCUUCGUAUCCCUUUCCAAUUUGCCCGAUCCAAGCAGAAUGUUUUUGGAGGUUACCAGUGAAUAUUUGUUUGAGCAGGACAUGGUCCGAUCAUUCGGGCCUGUAGCUCAGCCCGGUUAGAGCGCACGCCUGAUAAGCGUGAGGUCGGAAGUUCAAGUCUUCCCAGGCCCACCAUUUUUCAUUAUCGGGGGCGUAACUCAUUUGGGAGAGCGGUAGCUUUGCAAGCUUCAGGUCGUCGGUUCGAUCCCGUCCGCCUCCACCAUUUUUGGUGAAAUCCAUGUCUAUGGUUUCGUUAUAACGAUGGCGUUAUUACGAGGGUAAAUUAUAAGAGAAAAGUGUUUCAAAUUAGUUAGUUAUGACUAUUUGGUUUGCUCUU
Molecule: transfer RNA, 473 nt
Filed under: uncultured Alphaproteobacteria bacterium
Lineage: Bacteria; Pseudomonadati; Pseudomonadota; Alphaproteobacteria
Description: partial 16S-23S ribosomal RNA intergenic spacer
Rfam family: tRNA (bases 194-268)
Source: RNAcentral